UACGGGAGGCAGCAGUGGGGAAUAUUGCACAAUGGGCGCAAGCCUGAUGCAGCCAUGCCGCGUGUAUGAAGAAGGCCUUCGGGUUGUAAAGUACUUUCAGCGGGGAGGAAGGGAGUAAAGUUAAUACCUUUGCUCAUUGACGUUACCCGCAGAAGAAGCACCGGCUAACUCCGUGCCAGCAGCCGCGGUAAUACGGAGGGUGCAAGCGUUAAUCGGAAUUACUGGGCGUAAAGCGCACGCAGGCGGUUUUGUUAAGUCAGAUGUGAAAUCCCCGGGCUCAACCUGGGAACUGCAUCUGAUACUGGCAAGCUUGAGUCUCGUAGAGGGGGUAGAAUUCCAGGUGUAGCGGUGAAAUGCGUAGAGAUCUGGGAGGAAUACCGGUGGCGAAGGCGGGCCCCUGGGACGAGACUGACGCUCAGGUGCGAAAGCGUGGGGAGCGAAACAGGGAUUAGGAUAAC
RNAcentral lists this ribosomal RNA (458 nucleotides) under uncultured bacterium. RNAcentral describes it as "bacterial SSU rRNA". It matches the Rfam family "Bacterial small subunit ribosomal RNA", at positions 340 to 786 of the family's 1533-position model. The record is from RNAcentral.